Long non-coding RNA from Taeniopygia guttata (zebra finch), 1723 nucleotides. NCBI's taxonomy places the organism in Eukaryota, Metazoa, Chordata, Aves, Passeriformes, Estrildidae. The record is from Ensembl.
UACUCCUGGGAAAGAGCUCACAUUAAAUAUUACCAUACUCAGUUUUCCAGCAACACCUGGGAAAGGGGUGAGAAAAUGACAGUUUAUUGGUAUCUAGUUUCACAUAAAUGUUUCAUAUCUUUUGACCCUGAUGACAUAGAAAGGGACCUUGUCUUACAGCACACAGAACUUUGAUCCAAACUGUCAAAAACAAAAGAUAUUAUGAACUGCAAAAAGAGAAAGUCAUUUUAGAUCACCCCAUUGAUUUUUUUAAAUAGGGUGAGAUUGAAGCACUUUCACAUUCUUCAAUUAAUGGGAUCUAUCUUGUAAAUCAUUGGGUGAUCCAAAUAAACGACAGUGGUAGAACAACAUCAGUAUCUGAGGACUUAGUUGUAGCCAGGAUUCCACUACACAUGCGAAUAUUUCAGUUACUAUCUCUGUAAUGCUGAAAGAUACAUUUAUAAGCUACCAGGUAAAACUGGUAAAAAUAGAAAUUCCUGUGUUUCUACCUCAGGAAAAUAAUCUACAUUUUUUUAGGUAGAAUUUCCUUUUUUGCUCUUUGUCCACAAAAAAUAUUGUGUGUCAGGAUAAACAGAGCAAUAUUACAGACUAUCCCUAUGCUUAUGAGUUGUUUCCUUAGUGACAGAUGGGAAAAGCAAAGCUAAAGUAGUUAAUGUACAUUUCUGUUAAGAAACAAAACCAGAAUGAAUAUUUAAUUAGUUACUUCCUUAAAUAUUCCACUAUAUGAAGAAAAUGUGUACAUGUACACUCAAUAUACAUGUAUAUAAAAGAGUAGAACUCUGAAAUUUUUUUUCCUUUCAUACAGGAAAAGUCUUGCUGUAACUCUGUCUAAUUUCAAAUUUUGUUUCUUUUCCAAUCUAAACAAUAUUUGGAAAAUGUUCACUUGCACAAAUUAACACCAUCAUGAUUUUUUUUAAACCAAGGUCUAAUUUUAAUGAUAAUAUUUCACCUAUAAAAAGUGAGGAUAACAAGUUUGUAUUCAUACAAAAGUGUUAAUUAAUGAAAGACAAACCUUUGCCAGUUAUUGACACAUUCCUCUGUAAUCCUGUUAUGUGGAACAUUCUAAUGAAGUCAUAGUUUAUUACUAAUGAUCUAGCUUUGUUUAAAAAAAAAAAACCUGUGAGGGGGAGGGGGGGUUUGAAAUAAUUUAUUUUCUUUGGUGUAUUUUUUAUCACAGCAGGUAAGAAUGCUGCAUUUUGACUGCCACAUUGUAUGUGGGAUGAGGGGGUAUGACCUCAGAAGCAGCAAUGGAGAACUUGCUCUUUCACACUUCAGCACACACUGCUGUGAACCAGCACUUUGGUCAUAUUAUCCGCCGCACCACAAAGCUGUCCGCUAAUUAUCUCUGAAUACGAAUUUUAUUGAACCUUAAUUUUCAGUAAUGGGGCCUGAUAGCUGGAGAAGAAAGACAAAAGAAGGGUCCCUUUGUUUCUCCCCUCACAAUAACCUUCUAGUGCUGGAGCUAUGGCAGAACUCAUUAAACUUGAACAAUGAGUUGAAAUAUGAUCGUGUUAUUUUUGUCCCUGCCCCCAAACCAGGCUGGUCCUGUCUGCCAGCCUGUCCAUCUGUCUAACGAUAUGGGAAGAGACAUCGAUUUUGUAGUGGACACUUUUAAAACACAUUCCAAACUCCUACCCAAUCACCAGGAACAUGAAUCUGAGCAGAAAUUUGAUUCUUUUGUACAUGUUGGGCAAGGUCUCAUGGCAAGUUUAGCAGCAAUUCG